GAUGAACGCUGGCGGCGUGCCUAAUACAUGCAAGUCGAGCGAACAGAUAAGGAGCUUGCUCCUUUGACGUUAGCGGCGGACGGGUGAGUAACACGUGGAUAACCUACCUAUAAGACUGGGAUAACUUCGGGAAACCGGAGCUAAUACCGGAUAACAUAUUGAACCACAUGGUUCAAUAGUGAAAGGCGGCUUUGCUGUCACUUAUAGAUGGAUCCGCGCCGUAUUAGCUAGUUGGUAAGGUAACGGCUUACCAAGGCAACGAUACGUAGCCGACCUGAGAGGGUGAUCGGCCACACUGGAACUGAGACACGGUCCAGACUCCUACGGGAGGCAGCAGUAGGGAAUCUUCCGCAAUGGGCGAAAGCCUGACGGAGCAACGCCGCGUGAGUGAUGAAGGUCUUCGGAUCGUAAAACUCUGUUAUCAGGGAAGAACAAAUGUGUAAGUAACUGUGCACAUCUUGACGGUACCUGAUCAGAAAGCCACGGCUAACUACGUG
This 497-nucleotide ribosomal RNA is filed under the name uncultured bacterium. RNAcentral's name for it is "partial 16S ribosomal RNA". It matches the Rfam family "Bacterial small subunit ribosomal RNA", at positions 28 to 507 of the family's 1533-position model. The record is from RNAcentral.